Long non-coding RNA from Notolabrus celidotus (New Zealand spotty), 624 nucleotides. RefSeq lists it as uncharacterized. The record is from RefSeq and is a predicted model, not a curated record. The transcript has 2 exons. NCBI's taxonomy places the organism in Eukaryota, Metazoa, Chordata, Actinopteri, Labriformes, Labridae.
UUAUCCCCAUCAGUUUUGUUAUUUGGUCUGAUCCAUCUAAAAUCCAUCCUGAGAUACAAAACAAGCAGCAACAGAAGCGCUCAGGCAAACCAUGUCAACCUGCUGGCUAGUGCUGUGAUGUUGUCAAAAGCUCCCUGACAGCAGUUCUGACAUCUGCUCGGAGAAGCAGAGAGACAAGAGGAGGAGAGGAGGAGAGAGUUCAGGUGGAGAGACGAGGAACCGUUUCCUAGCAGCUAAGUAUCUGUGACGGCAGCAGCUUCGUUGUCAUGUUUACAUUUUACAGUCAUGUGACACAGACUCUGCACGCACAGUGGUCAGUUCUCUGUUCAAGUAAGAGACUGCAGAUCGACGUUCAUUGUAGAUCAUCUAUGGAAAGCGAGACACUGGUGACUGCACAACGUGCUUAAGGUCAUGUGGCUGACUGACAUCCUGAGAUGUGAGUAAUGGACAUGCGCACAUUGCAGCUGUGAUGGUCAAACGAUAUAUCAUUCAGCCCUACAGGGAUGUCAGGGAGCUCCUUUCAGCCAGAGUAUACUGAUACUGCGUUCACUGACCAGUUGAUUUGUUGUAUACUGUCAACAGUGUGACUUGACAUUGAGUGUGAAAUAAAUAAAUUCCUUCUUC